This 252-nucleotide ribosomal RNA is filed under the name Klebsiella pneumoniae. Its description in RNAcentral is "partial 23S ribosomal RNA". It matches the Rfam family "Bacterial large subunit ribosomal RNA", at positions 1399 to 1653 of the family's 2925-position model. The record is from RNAcentral. RNAcentral also lists the same sequence under 1 other name. Lineage: Bacteria; Pseudomonadati; Pseudomonadota; Gammaproteobacteria; Enterobacterales; Enterobacteriaceae.
AGGCCGAAAGGCGUAGUCGAUGGGAAACAGGUUAAUAUUCCUGUACUUGGUGUUACUGCGAAGGGGGGACGGAGAAGGCUAUGUUAGCCGGGCGACGGUUGUCCCGGUUUAAGCAUGUAGGCUGGUUAUCCAGGCAAAUCCGGAUAAUCAAGGCUGAGGUGUGAUGACGAGGCACUACGGUGCUGAAGUAACAAAUGCCCUGCUUCCAGGAAAAGCCUCUAAGCAUCAGGUAACAUCAAAUCGUACCCCAAA